CGUCACAGAAUCAACUGAUAGCCCCACAUUAGUACCUGUUAUUAAUUGCGAAGGUACGAAGUGUACUGGAGUCACAAAACUAUACGCUUGUGUGUGUGUGUGCGUGUAUGUGUGUGUGCGUGCGAGCAUGCGGUGAGUGUUACAGAGGGUGUGGCGGCAGUUCAGAGUCAAGAGGGAUGUCCGUUGUUAUAACAAGGACGGCAGAAGCUCGCUGGCUCUUCUGGAAGUCGCAGGAAUUAACAACAGCUUUUAUGUCUCUCCAAUUCUCUCUAAAGACUGGCUGCUGAGAAGAUUCAGUGUUCCUACUCUACGACGCAUUUUAGUGCUGGCUGAUGUGUACCCCACAUUGCUGCAUGCUUACUCACUCUCCAGCCUUGAAGCGCUAGACACCCUGAACUCCCGCCCCUUCCCUGACGCUCCGGAGUCGCGAGGACCUGCCAGCCCAUCGCCAGCGCCGCGCCACCAUGGACGUGAAGGCCGAGCUUGUCUUAUUGAUCUUCACCCUUAACUGCGUCACCCUGAUUCUCACUGGCAAGGACUUGAUACGGUCUCGUCUGUGUCGAGAUAAAUAUGGUCAUGACCCGGCUUGCAUUCUUACCUUAAGGAACACCCCUAUCAUCCUCAACGACACCACCAGCACCAUUGCCCACAUGAAGAACAUUACCAAUACUUCACUCAGCAAUGGCAUCUCACUAGCACUACCAUUACCACUGCAACGGUCACCACAUUUACAGCCACAGCAGCAGCCACGUCAACUGCUCUCAUCAUUAGCAAGCAAGGGAGAAAAGGAAGAAGUGGAUGAUUCUCACGACCUGUUAUCGCUGCUACCACCACUGAAACCAAAAAUCAACAAAAACCACCUCGUUAAUGUGACGCAGGCAGUGGAGUCUUGCGGCCUGAUCCUCACCGCCACCUUCCUCUCCACCUCCGUGGUCUCAUCGCAGGUGCUAGGCAGGUGGAUUGACAGGUGGUCUCGAAAAAGUAUGAUGAUGCUACCUCUGACGGGCGUGGUACUGUGGGCCACCUGUGGAGUGAUGGUUUCAGCCGCGCCCUGGAACCCCAUCUUCCUGUGGUUCGUGGGAGCGGGUCUGUGCGGCCUCUGCGGGGGCUUUAUCACCCUCAAAACCGCCGUGACGACCUAUGCUCUUCAGGCCAUGGAGCGUGGGGACAAGAUAGUGAAGCUAGCUCUACUGCAGGCCGCCAUCUCUAUAGGGGUGUUUGUAGCCUACCUAUGCUCCUACUACCUGCCUGCUAACACUCACGGAGAGAUUAGUAAUACGUUAUUAGGUAUUACGCUGAUGGGAAUAUUGGACAUCAUCUUCGCUGCGGGGUUCCUCUCGACCACAUCUCGAACACCACCACCCCUGUCACCCACCACUCCAUCCACCACCCCCCGCACCCGCUCCGCUUCCAACCCUCCCCCCGCAGGACCCGCCACUCGAGUUAAUGCGCACAACUCCACCGUAAGUUUAGCUCGGCAUGCUCAAAGAGAGGAAGAGAUGCGGGAGGAGGAGGAGGAGCAGAGGGAAAGAAGGUACGCUGGAAAGAAUAAGAUAAUAAUAGUCGAUGUAGUGAAAGAAGAUGAUAAAUGUGAUGAAGAUGAAAAGGAGGAUGAACGGCAUGCCCAAAGGGAUAAGCAGGAGGAGAUGGAAGUGGUGGUAGUAGCGGAACAGGAGGAGGAGAAGGAAGAGAGGAACGAUGGAUAUCAUGAAGAAAGAAUGGUGGAGGCAGUGAAGGAAGAGGAUGAUAAAUGUGAUGAAAGUGAAGAUAAAGAGAGGAAGGAAGGAGAAAGAUACGUAAAUCACGAAGAUGAUGAAUGUGCUGAAAAUGAAAAAGAGGAAAGAAUAAAAGAAAAAAAAGUGGUUGGCGAAUGUGAUAGAAAUGAAGAAAAUAAUAUGGAAGAAGAGAAAAACGAAGAUGAGUACUAUGAAAAAGAGGAGAAACAAAAGAAAGAAAAGGAUGAGAAAGAUGAAUGGCUUAAAAAUGGAGAGAGAGAAGAGAAAGAAGACGAAAUGAAUGCAAUCAAAGACACAGAGAAUAUUCCAGCACAUCCUGUAUUCCCUAUUGACAUUUUCGUUAUUUCCCCUAUAGAAGAGCAAGACGAAAACUUGAGCGACGUGAACAAGAACACAGAGGGAAAUACCGCAAUAGAGUCGGGAGAAAUAGACCGAGACGAAGGACAUUUGAUUGCUUAUUCCACCGAGGAAGAGGGGAUGAACACCAAACAGAUCAGAUUAGCGUUCCACGGUUCCUCGCCCUCCCACCACACCAUUACUAUUGCCUCAGAGGACGGCAGCAGCGUGUACGGCACCCCUCCUGAGCCCUCUAGCCACUAUGGCACACCUCCCAGCCGAACGCUCUCCCGCCACUCUAUGGAGGCGGCGGCGGCGGCUGCAGAGGGGGUUCAUCAGCAAGCAGUAUCAGCCUUCCAUCAUCCACCUCAAGCCUGCGUCCCUUGCUGCUGCCACCACAGAGUGCAGGAUUACAGAUGUCCCAUAAAUUACGGUAUAGGAUUAUCAUCGUCAUUGCCAUCUACACUCCCAAGUACCAUUAAUUUCGGGGGUCAUGAAACCCCUCACAUCUUCCAGAACGAAAUGCAGUUUAAACAUAGGCUAGGAGGCUGUAGCUCCCAGCACGAUUCAUUAAUGAGUCAGAAUGUGCUGUUGACGCCUGAUUCCUCCGACUGCUCUUCGCUCAGCUGCGAGGGCUCACAUCCAAACUGCAACAGCAGUAGUGACGGGUGUCAGCACUGUCAUGAUGUGCUGCGAGAGGACGAGGGGUAUAAUUUUGGUGCUUAUGCUUCCCUAGACGAUGUGCAGAGUUUGUCACUCUCUGUGUCAAGCAACUCUGACGCUUUAAGCCUCUCAAAUAACCCUAGCUCUACCACAAGACAGCCAGAAAUCUCGCCACCAACACAAAACGAAAGCAUUGGUGAAGUGAGCGAGGGUGCAGGAGGCAGGUCCUCGGCGCCCUUGACGCUGGCCAGUGAGUCAAGUGGUGAAGGAGAGUGUUGCGCAGGUGGCGCGGGGAGGUGCCGGGUGUGCGUGGCGGGGGGACUACUCUGCCGCCCGGUGUCAGUGACCUUUCGACGCAGAGCCGCAGGGCUGAGAGGUAUCGUGGUCGCCGACGUGGUGGCCACCUUCCUCAUCAGUAUGGUGGCGGCAGUCGUGUGGGAGGUUACGCCACUCUACCUGGAAGCAAAGAUGAAGUGGUCCCUAGCAGACUGGAUCCCGUAUCUAGCCUGCCACAGCGGACUGGGAGUGGUGGCGCUGGUGGUGGUACUGCCUCUGCUGCGCCGAUGGUGGGUGCUGCAGGACACCACACUGGGGUACUCGGCGGUGUAUCCAGUAUCGCUUCCUCUACCUUCCUUAGUUUCGUGACUUCUUCUUCAACUGCCAUUCCUCUAACUCUUACCUUUGGGCCCUUGGCACAGUACCUCAACGUGUCCUCUGUUUCCAUCCUAGUACGUCUGGUGGACAUGAGUGGCGCGAUCAUGUGCCUGUGCACGAUUGAGCAGCUAGGGUUGACAACUGGCU
RNAcentral lists this unclassified non-coding RNA (3536 nucleotides) under Portunus trituberculatus (swimming crab). RNAcentral describes it as "uncharacterized LOC123498491, transcript variant X7". The record is from RNAcentral. Lineage: Eukaryota; Metazoa; Arthropoda; Malacostraca; Decapoda; Portunidae.